UACGGAGGGUGCGAGCGUUGUCCGGAAUCACUGGGCGUAAAGGGCGCGUAGGCGGCCUGAUAAGUAGGGGGUGAAAUCCUGCGGCUUAACCGCAGGGCUGCCUUCUAAACUGUCAGGCUAGAGCACAGUAGAGGCAGGUGGAAUUCCCGGUGUAGCGGUGGAAUGCGUAGAGAUCGGGAAGAACACCCGUGGCGAAGGCGGUGUGCUGGGUUGCAAGUGAACGCUGAGAUGCGAAAGUGUGGG
This 243-nucleotide ribosomal RNA is filed under the name uncultured bacterium. RNAcentral describes it as "partial 16S ribosomal RNA". It matches the Rfam family "Bacterial small subunit ribosomal RNA", at positions 524 to 765 of the family's 1533-position model. The record is from RNAcentral.